GGUGACACUGUGUUUAAGUCUGGCGUGACACUAUUGUUAAGUGUUUUUCGGGUGAGAACAUCCUCGUUAACCGUGCAGAAUAUGGAACAGUCUAUCUGCUCUGCCAGCGCUGAUCCCCUCGUUCAUACCUGGGACGGAAUGCCACAACUCAUAGCUGGCAUUAAAAUCCCCUAGUACCAGACGGUUAUUGCCUACCAACCUACCUCUGAGCCGUUGGAAUUAAAUUCCAAGAAAGAUGCACAGUCCGGAGUUGGAACAGCAACUUGUGGCGUAAGAUACUGCGGUAUAGGUUGCCGUUCGGGAGACUGUGGUGGAGUUCCGUACUCCGACGAAGACUCAGAAGCGUACGACGUAGACUCGCUGCGCACUAUGUUGCUGCAGCACGUCACAAUAUAAUCCUUUUCGAUGUAGUUUCUCAACCGACUUAAUCCGGAACAGCACCCAUUUUUCGAAACAGACCAGUGGUGGAUAACGUUCUGACAAACUGAGCAGAAUCAGGUUCGGGGUUUUCUUCGGUCCCGGCACGGACUAAAAUAAUUCGGAGCAGGCAUUCCUUGUUAUGUUGCUCCCAAAAGAAGAAAAAUAAACAAACAUAUACAGCAGCCACAGGUCCGGAUUUACACUACCGAUACAGACAAUAUAGGUAUCAUAUAAAACCUUAUGAAAAGCAAAACCUAUAAGAAACUUAUGAAAAUCAAAGCCCAUCUGACCAUUGUCAAAAUACAUAUUUGUGAUCAAAUCAUAAUAGUGUAAAAACUAAUAAGUUUAUUUUUGCGGUUGUUGUGGUAACAGUGGUGUAUGUUAGGUGCUUUAUAUGCUGCUAAUCUGGUUCUGCUUCAAAGACCAUGUUUAGGAAAUCUGCUACACUUAUGGACUUAGAUCUUGGGCAUAGAUCUUCUGGAUUGAGUUUUAUAAGUUUGGCAGGACAUUUGGAUAGAUGCAGCUUAUUAUGCGGGCCUGUAUUGCACGCUGGGCCGACAUUCCUUGCACCUUGAUCAAUCCAUGCCCAAUAUUAAUUGAAACGUCUGCACCAUUGUUGUUGUAGCAGCUCAUACAUCUGUGUUCUUUCGGUUUCCAUUUUCUUCAGUUCAGUUCAGUCAGGUUCUGCCUCUAAGUCCAGUCUCAAAAAGGAUGCAACCUGUAUGGGUUGUGUCCAUAACGAGACUAGAGUUAGGUGAGUAGGCUUGGCUGGGAAGCGAAAUAGGUGCAGCGUGUCAUGUGGGCCUGUGCCACAUGCUGGACAGAUGUUCUACAUGUCGCCGUUAAUCCGGGCCCAGUAGGACUUUAGGCGGCUGCACCAUCCGGAUCGUAAUUGAGCCAAAACUACUCGGGUUUGUCGGGGCAGCUCUAGUUCUUCAGCUGCGAGGGAAGGGGGAUGGUCUCCUAGCACAGUAUUCACACUGUAUCCUUCAAUGGCUUCUGAGACCGCAUUAGAGUGAAUACUAUUCAGUCCCGCUUGAUAGGCCUGUUGAUCUAGAGGCUCUCUCUUAUACCUCUGUACCUCUCUCUCUAGAUCAUGAAGGUCUUUCCUAACGUGCCUGGGCGGAGGUUGCCUAUCCACAAGAUGGUGAUUUGGAUGGCUUUGUCUAUAACACCUAAGCAGGUAUUGCAUUGACAGCAUUUUGUUAUGCUGUCGCACCGGUAAGGUGAUCGACAGGUGUCAUGAGAAGGCACCCUAUUGCGGUUCUAAGGGCGGCAUUCUGGCAGGACUGAAUAUUUUUCCACUGCGUAGCACUGACGUUGGCGGACCACACCGGAGCCGCAUAGUUUACCACAGACCGGCCUAUCGCGUUGUAAGAGGUCAACAAGGUUUCCUUAUCAGCUCCCCAAGUACUGCCGGCCAGAGACUUGAGGACCUUGUUCCUACUUCUAAUCUUGUCGCAGAUAGCUGUGGUAUGCGCGGACGACUUAAAAAGGCUAUCGAAUGUGACCCCUAAUACCUUGGGGUAGUUGGUGGUCGGAAUAAUAGCACCAUCGACCUGCACAUUCAAGGAUAGCCCCAUCUCCGCAGUCUAUGUGGUGAAAAGUGUGGCCGUCGACUUAGUGGCGGAUAUCUUCAUAUUCCUCGCAGUGAAAAAGGCGGUAAGAUCAACAAGGUAAGCGUUUAACCGAUCGCAAAUGUCAUCAAUAAUGGGUCCGGACGCCACGAGCGUACAAUCAUCUGCGUACGUUAUAAUCUCUAUGCCGGAGAUAUCACCCCACCUUGGGGAACUCCCUGUUUAACUCUACGGAUGCUCGACUUCUUGUUUCUGAAAUCCACGUACGACUGGCGUCCACACAUGUAGCUUUGUAAGAUACUCAACUCCUGGUUCAUCAGUUGCUUCAACAUCACCAUUAAGAUUUCGUCAGGACCAAGCGCUUUGGAUGACUUUACGCUUCUGAUGACCUGUGCAACAUCUGCCAACGUAAAUUGUGGUGGACGAACACGAACAUGUAUUUGCUGGGUUGGCGGCCCCUGGUCGGAGAAAUGUGCCUCCGAUUCAAUCCGGUACAUAGAACCGGCCGCCGUGGGAUUGGUCUGCACCAUUGUAGUGUCGUCACAGCAUAUUGAUCUUCUCUUUAUAGAUAUGGGCUCAGCCGCUCAUCAUCAUACAUUCUUCCAACUCUAAGCAAUGUUUUAACUUCGUUGAUUUAUCAGCCUUAAUAAAAUAUAGUUUUUAUAAUGUCAAA
Molecule: long non-coding RNA, 2670 nt
Organism: Musca domestica (house fly)
Lineage: Eukaryota; Metazoa; Arthropoda; Insecta; Diptera; Muscidae
Exons: 2
Source: RefSeq, a predicted model, not a curated record